RNAcentral lists this ribosomal RNA (206 nucleotides) under uncultured bacterium. Its description in RNAcentral is "partial 16S ribosomal RNA". It matches the Rfam family "Bacterial small subunit ribosomal RNA", at positions 568 to 774 of the family's 1533-position model. The record is from RNAcentral.
AGCGCAGGCGGUUGGAAUAGUCUGAUGUGAAAGCCCACGGCUUAACCGUGGAAGGUCAUUGGAAACUGUCCAACUUGAAUGCAGAAGAGGUAAGUGGAAUUCCAUGUGUAGCGGUGAAAUGCGUAGAUAUAUGGAGGAACACCAGUGGCGAAGGCGACUUACUGGUCUGUAAUUGACGCUGAGGCUGAAAGCGUGGGUAGCGAACA